Molecule: non-coding RNA, 3254 nt
Organism: Oryza sativa Japonica Group (Japanese rice)
Lineage: Eukaryota; Viridiplantae; Streptophyta; Magnoliopsida; Poales; Poaceae
Source: RefSeq, a predicted model, not a curated record
GAAGUCUCAGUAAUUAUGUACUGCUAAUGGCACUACAUGAUUGCAUCCUCUGAUCGUCACCAUUCCAGCAAAGCUCAAAAGGGCGGUAACUGAUAAGGUGAUCUAAUUGGAAUAUUACCUGCAACCAUGUUCCAGCAGCAGCGAGGGAUGACAACAAUCCAGCGAAGAGCAGAGAGUCCUUUCCUUGGAAGACAGAUGCGACUAGGAUGCCCUUCUGCAUGGUGCUGGUGACAUGGGUGCCCAUAAGGAAUGCACCAGAGAACUCUAGCACCGCCGCAGUAAGCACUGCUUGCCGGAGUGUCAAAGCACCAGACCCUACUGACGUCCCCAUGGCAUUGGCCACAUCAUUUGCCCCAAUGUUCCAUGCCAUGUAGAACCCUGAAAGCAGUGUCAGAUAUGCCAGUGCCUUCAUUUUGUUCGUCCCAUGGAAGACCACUGACUGCAUCGCCAGUGGCACAGUGAGCGCUGCAAAUGCAAUCACCACUGAGAUUGACAUUGCCAUCCGGGGCGAUAUAUGGAAUGCCUUGGCCAUCUCCGACAGUUCAGAUUCCCCGUUCUGCUCCUCCUCAGACUCUGUGGCAUCUGCUUGCCCGCUGGAGCCAUUAUCAGCAUUGGCAAAGGAGGAUAUUGUGGCAUGGGGAAGGCUCAGGUGUGAGUUCAGUGUCUUGGCAGGUGACACAAUGGCUGAAGGGUAGUACCUCAGGCCAUGAAUCCGAGGUGGCAGCUGAGCAACAGGGUGACGGAGCAGGAGAGCGGCAGCCGCAGCUCGCCCUCCUGCUCCAGCAUGUGCUCGGGCAACGGAGAAGAAAGGGGAAGAUUGAGACAUGGAGUGGCAGAAGCAAAGUACAGGUUUGAGCAGAGAAGCACCGAGAAGAAAAAGAUGAGAUUAAGGGGGAGGAGAGGAGGAAGGUGAAUGAGAAGCGGUGGCCAUAGGUGUUUGUGGAAUGAAGUGAGCAUUGUUUUGUGGAUGGAGGAAAGGGCUUGCUUUCUGUGGUGGCCCAGCUCGGGCUGAGAUGAACGAGUGGUGGCUUGGAAUGAGUGGUGGAAGGGGAUACGAGCAAGAUUCCAGCCUAAUCCAUAACCUGGGGUUGCAGCUGACCACUUGACUGUUUUCAGUCUGCGUUACCAUCAGGGCCACCCUUCCCUCCAUCGUCUUUUUUAAAGAUCUAACUGUUGUCUGUUUCUGUUGUUUUGAUUCUCCAGUGCAAUAUUUAGCAUGACAUUAACAUCUUGCAUCAGUUUAAUAUGGAAGGCUUCUGAAGAUACUUGCGUCUGUGGUUCUAAAGCUGAUGCCAUCUACUGUGCAGAUAAAUGAAACUAAUACAGUUACAUGUGAAGUUCUCAUGUUAUAUGUACUGUUCUUAUGACAGAAAAACGUACUGUUCUUAUGACACACAAACGGUGACUCUUCAGAUAUACAGUCGGUGUUAGUAAUCAAGAUUUUCCAUGCUCAGAAAUCUAUUUAAUUGCAGAGGAAGUCAACACUGGUCUGGCUUCUCAUGGGUAUCAGGAUGGACCGGUGGUUCCCGUUUGGCAGUAGCGAUUGGAGCGCUGCUGGCCAAGGACCACAGAACAGAAAAUCAACUUGUGUGCUCCAGGCCGGAUGCUGAAGAGAAGAAUAAUCAGCGUCUUUGUCCCUGUAUCAGGUAUGGAAUACUUGAUCUUGUCUUCUACGAUCACUAGAGAUUGGCCACAAUUUAUCAGGUAUGGAAUACUUGAUCUUGUCUUCUACGAUCACUAGAGAUUGGCCACAAUUUAUCAUUUAGCAGACACCGCACUAGACACAUUUUCUGCUCAUCGAGUUGGCCAGGGCUCAGGUCGACAUUUUUUUUUUCCCUGCAAGUCGUGUGUUGUGGAUGAAGUAUUGUGUCUUUAAAGCGUGCACAGUUUCAAGAUUUCUUAUGGCUGAUUCUCCUUUUGCCGACUUCACUUUCGAAUCUGUAGUUAGGUAUAAGAAUCUUCCUGUGAUUUCAGUUUGGUGUUGCUUCUGAAUUUGUACGAUAACUUAAAAACAAAGAUACUGAGUAGUAGUAUACUUGUAGCUCCAAAUGGAGAUUUGUAACUCGACCAAAUUGCAGGGCACCACUGAGCCAUUUGCAAGUUCGACGGCCGCAAACAGGAGAGAUAGAAGCAUACUUAUAUAUAUAGGGGAGAGAGCGCAAUAACAUAGGAAAAAAAUGAUUGAAAUUACGUGAAAAAUGUGGUGUUAUAUUUUAAGCAAACCAUGUUUAUUUAUCGGUUUGAUUUUGAGAUAUCAAAUUUUGACGUACAAUAUUUCCUUGAAAGUCUAAUCAAAUUAUGGGGAGUAAAAGUGGUAACUCUAGAUUUAUGAUCAAAAUAACAUAGUGAAAUCCCUUCACAAGAAAUGACUCAGUGAAGUCCAUUUAAUGAAUAAUAAUCUUGGACUCGAAUUGUUCUGCGAUUUUGCUAUAUCUCACUUGAAAGAUUUUUUCUUUAUCUCUCACUCGAUUUUCUCACUCAAAUUUACAGUGUAUUUUCUUGUAAAUUAUAGUGUAAUUUAUGAAACUUACAGUGUAAUUUUUGAAUCUUCGCAUGUAAGUUUUGAAAUUUAUAUUGGAUUUGGUCUUUUUCUUAAAGAUAUGGUAAUUUAGUAUCUAUUAUGGUGUUUCUUAGUUGCUUUUUGCCUUUUACUAUGUCUAUUGGAUUUUAAUCCAAAGAUUAAAAAUUUAUAUGAUAUGAUCAUAGAAAUCUUUCGAAAGAUGCAUAGGUACUCCUUGUUUUGGAAGGUAACGCAAAUAGCCAAUGAAAGCGUUUUGAAAACAGAUCAGUAUUCGCUGUAUGUGGACUGUGGUGGUCAUUUCAUGGGCCUGAGGCCCUUGGGAUCAGCCUGUGCUCGCAACUCUAUCACCUGGGCCUUGUGUAGCCGACCAUUCCAAGUCCUACACUCGGACUCAAAUCACUCAAUUGUCCUUUCCUUUGCAGACAUUGAUCCUUCCUAUGGCCGGCUGAUUUGGAAAAGCAAAGUACCCGGACAUUGUGAAUUGUUUGUGUGGCUCAUCCAAUCAAGCGAUUUCACCAAUGUUUAAACGGCCGUUGUAUGUGUAAUCUUUGUACAUCAUGUAUACUUAACUAGACGUCAUGUAAUUUGCCUUAGAAAGUAACAAAGCCUUCUCUAAAUAACUAUUUCCUCUGGUCAGAAAGUGGUGUUUCGAAAUGUGUGUAAUUAACGUUAUUAAACUUUGACACUUAAGUUCUCUUUGAAUAUUUCAACUGAAUAUUUGAAAGUGAUAUGG